UACAGAGGUGGCAAGCGUUGUUCGGAAUCACUGGGCUUAAAGCGCGUGUAGGCGGGACGGAAGGUGCUUGGUGAAAUCCCAUGGCUCAACCAUGGAACUGCCGGGCAAACCAUCGUCCUUGAGGCAGGUAGAGGUGAUCGGAACCUUAGGUGGAGCGGUGAAAUGCGUAGAUAUCUAAGGGAACGCCGGUGGCGAAAGCGGAUCACUGGGCCUGUCCUGACGAUGAGACGCGAAAGCGUAGGGAGCAAACGGG
This 253-nucleotide ribosomal RNA is filed under the name uncultured bacterium. RNAcentral's name for it is "partial 16S ribosomal RNA". It matches the Rfam family "Bacterial small subunit ribosomal RNA", at positions 524 to 776 of the family's 1533-position model. The record is from RNAcentral.